RNAcentral lists this long non-coding RNA (1585 nucleotides) under Helianthus annuus (common sunflower). RNAcentral describes it as "hypothetical non coding rna". Lineage: Eukaryota; Viridiplantae; Streptophyta; Magnoliopsida; Asterales; Asteraceae. The record is from RNAcentral.
CGACGCUCGUUAGGCCCGUACGCGCCUUACGGACGACGUCGACUAAAUAAUAAAAAAAAUAUUAUUUAGUCGACGUCGUCCGUAAGGCGCGUACGGGCCUAACGAGCGUCGAAACUAAGUCCGUCGUUGCCCGUUAGGCCCGUACGCGCCUUACGGAGGACGUCGACUAAAUAAUAAAAAAAAUAUUAUUUAGUCGACGUCGUCCGUAAGGCGCGUACGGGCCUAACGAGCGUCGAAACUAAGCCCGUCGUUAAAAUUUUAACGACGGGCUUAGUUUCGACGCUCGUUAGGCCCGUACGCGCCUUACGGACGACGUCGACUAAAUAAUAAAAAAAUAUUAUUUAGUCGACGUCGUCCGUAAGGCGCGUACGGGCCUAACGAGCGUCGAAACUAAGUCCGUCGUUGCCCGUUAGGCCCGUACGCGCCUUACGGAGGACGUCGACUAAAUAAUAAAAAAAAUAUUAUUUAGUCGACGUCGUCCGUAAGGCGCGUACGGGCCUAACGAGCGUCGAAACUAAGUCCGUCGUUGCCCGUUAGGCCCGUACGCGCCUUACGGAGGACGUCGACUAAAUAAUAAAAAAAAUAUUAUUUAGUCGACGUCGUCCGUAAGGCGCGUACGGGCCUAACGAGCGUCGAAACUAAACCCGUCGUUAAAAUUUUAACGACGGGCUUAGUUUCGACGCUCGUUAGGCCCGUACGCGCCUUACGGACGACGUCGACUAAAUAAUAAAAAAAAUAUUAUUUAGUCGACGUCGUCCGUAAGGCGCGUACGGGCCUAACGAGCGUCGAAACUAAGUCCGUCGUUGCCCGUUAGGCCCGUACGCGCCUUACGGAUGAUAAAUUUACAAAAAUGGUCCCUGAGGUUUGAUGUGUUUACAAAAUCGGUCCCUGAGGUUUGAUGAAUUUACAAAAAUGGUCCCUGGUGUUUCCAGGAUUUAUCAGCCGUAAGGCGCGUACGGGCCUAACGGGCAACGACGGACUUAGUUUCGACGCUCGUUAGGCCCGUACGCGCCUUACGGACGACGUCGACUAAAUAAUAUUUUUUUUAUUAUUUAGUCGACGUCGUCCGUAAGGCGCGUACGGGCCUAACGAGCGUCGAAACUAAGCCCGUCGUUAAAAUUUUAACGACGGGUUUAGUUUCGACGCUCGUUAGGCCCGUACGCGCCUUACGGACGACGUCGACUAAAUAAUAUUUUUUUUAUUAUUUAGUCGACGUCGUCCGUAAGGCGCGUACGGGCCUAACGGGCAACGACGGACUUAGUUUCGACGCUCGUUAGGCCCGUACGCGCCUUACGGACGACGUCGACUAAAUAAUAUUUUUUUUAUUAUUUAGUCGACGUCGUCCGUAAGGCGCGUACGGGCCUAACGAGCGUCGAAACUAAGCCCGUCGUUAAAAUUUUAACGACGGGUUUAGUUUCGACGCUCGUUAGGCCCGUACGCGCCUUACGGACGACGUCGACUAAAUAAUAUUUUUUUUAUUAUUUAGUCGACGUCGUCCGUAAGGCGCGUACGGGCCUAACGGGCAACGACGGACUUAGUUUCGACGCUCGUUAGGCCCGUACGCGCCUUACGGACGACGUCGACU